Long non-coding RNA from Bos taurus (domestic cattle), 1908 nucleotides. Lineage: Eukaryota; Metazoa; Chordata; Mammalia; Artiodactyla; Bovidae. The record is from Ensembl.
GGGCUAUAAAUAAUGCCAACGUGAGAAGAGGCAAUUCUCACUUCCUGCCUUUGGGAGAGAACUCCUGAUUGUGCUUUGCCAGGAAUCCACUGGUACAAAUUUACUUUUAAAGUUUGCUGGACUUGUGCUCAUUCUACUAAGGACUUGCUUUAUUGGCACAUUGAGUAUUUGCUGACAGUCUCCUGAUUCACUUCUUUAUGCCUUGGCUCCCAUAUAAGUUUUUCCUACGUACUUGGCAUUUAAGAAGCUCACACAGCCACCACUAUAGUCUCAGUUUGGAAGCUGGUGAACUGUGUCCUGCCUGGGGAAACGGCACCUGAUAAGAAGAUUCCAGAAUCACUUUUGGGGUCACGCUCCUAAACAAUUGGAGGGAAAACAACAAACAUCUUCAAGCCAUCUUGAGACUUUCUCCUCCACAGGCAGCUCUUUGGAGUGUUCAGGCCUCUGGAUGAAACCCAAAGCGUUGCUUGCCAAAACUAAAGGCAGCGAGGCCUGAUGAGUGCCAGCACCGGUGCAGAAAGGGGAACUCUACAUUUCCCAUCCUUCCAAGUAUGAACAGGCCACAACGAACACAACAGAAGAAGGAUGGGCUCCUCAGAGAGGAUGCUGCCGAGGCUUUUGGUCACGUGGGAAGUAAUACAGAGGGCUUGCAGAGCAAGAGCAAGAUGAAGCCAGCCCAGGGCUCUGAGUCUCCCAUGCUACAGGGGUUUGAGUGAGAGCCUGAAGCAGGCCAGGGGCAGGCUCUCACACCAUUGUAAACAGUCAGGAGUGAGACUGGAAGGUUUUGUUAUUUGCUUUGUUUGUUUUUCCUGUCUCUAAGAUAUAGAUUUGAGGGACUUCAAAUAACAGUAGUGGGCCAAACCAGAAUCUUAGUGAUAAGCUAAUGGCAUGGGCUGCUUUAGAAGUAAGUAUAAAAGUUUAUAGUACAAAAGAUAUCCUUUAAUUUCCUUCUAAAUGAAGAUAUAAAUCUAACCUAAAAGGAGAGUGGAGGGUGAGAUGUUUUAUUGCUCCGCUCUUGAAUGCCAGAGCAGGAUUGUUGGAAGGGAAGCAGUGGAGUGACAAUUAAUACAACUUGGACCAAGAAAAAGACAAAGAACAAGUUCUACUAGGAAAAUUCUUAAAAACUUCAACCCCAGAAGUAUUAACAUUUAAAUGAAAGUGGGGAACACUAACGUUACCUAACAGUAACUGUUAAGUUUUCAUUUCCUAUACCACUGGUCAUGAAUCAUGGGAAACUUAUAAAAGGGCAUAAACGGUUCAGAGGCCAGGCUAUACUGGAUCAGCAUCUAAGCUGCCAGUGCUGAACUGGGAAUCAAAAGCCGAGGGGCUCUGCCCAGGUGGAAACCUCACUGACGGUGAGUGGAAGUCACCUCCUUUUUCAGGAGCUUCACUUCCUCAGUGUAAAAGGAGGGGUUCCUUUGAAUAAUAAAAUAAAAUUCUAUGAUUCAUAAUGUAACUCCAUGAACUCUUUACUUGCCUGAGAUCACUAAAAGAAAUAUUUGGUGAAAAUGAAAAAGCAGAACAAAAAAGCAACAUUUUAUGUUUUCGACAAUGUUUAAGUCAAGGGAAUCUUAUUACCAUGUAACUUGAGUAGAAUUUUUAGCAAAUUAGGCAAAAUUUAGGGAAUGCUUUUCAAGAUUGGAAUCAGAUGUCUUUCCUGGAUAACAAAAACUUCCUCUAUGAGCAUUAUCCAAAUGUUCUUUCAUAUCUCCAUUUUGAAGCAAUAAAAGAAGUCUUGGAUGUUUCAGUGUCCAAUCUCUGAAUUGCAUAAAACUUGAGACACAAUGUUUCAUUCAUACAGCACUUCACUCUAUUAGGCAAAUAUUGUAUCAUUCAGUACUUUCUAUAGACACAAUUUGUCAUAAAAAUAACUUGAUAAUAUUAUUCUUAACCUAGAAAAGUCCACAA